GUUGGGCUUGGUAGCGUGAGCCUGUAACCCAAGUGGGAGCAAUAAGUUUGUGGGAUAAUUAGGCUUACCUUGAUGGCUGGGCUUGGGGCUGUUCUAAGUGGUGAGUUGGGCUGUGGAGUCUUUGCGAAGGCAGAGGCUUCUUGGCCCUUAGAUUGGAGGGCACUGCGUUAUGCUGGUUUCACAGAGCAGCGAACACUUCCUCCUCUCUGCAGUGGAAGGAUAAUGAGCCGGAGCAUCCAAAGUCGGGACGUUAUGCUAUGGAACCGUGUUC
Molecule: signal recognition particle RNA, 271 nt
Filed under: Ipomoea nil (Japanese morning glory)
Lineage: Eukaryota; Viridiplantae; Streptophyta; Magnoliopsida; Solanales; Convolvulaceae
Description: Plant signal recognition particle RNA
Rfam family: Plant signal recognition particle RNA
Source: Rfam by way of RNAcentral